Ictalurus punctatus (channel catfish) is the source of this 412-nucleotide long non-coding RNA. NCBI's taxonomy places the organism in Eukaryota, Metazoa, Chordata, Actinopteri, Siluriformes, Ictaluridae. The record is from Ensembl.
CAUACUAUAUUACAGUACAGUCUAAUAGAGCAUACUAUAUUACAGUACAGUGUAGUCUAAUAGAGCAUACUAUAUUACAGUACAGUGUAGUCUAAUAGAGCAUACUAUAUACAGUACAGUCUAAUAGAGCAUACUAUAUUACAGUACAGUCUAAUAGAGCAUACUAUAUUACAGUACAGUCUAAUAGAGCAUACUAUUACAGUACAGUCUUAAUAGAGCAUACUAUAUUACAGGACAGGCUAAUAGAGCAUACUAUAUUACAGUACAGUGCAGUCUAAUAGAGCAUACUAUAUUACAGUACAGUGUAGUCUAAUAGAGCAUACUAUAUUACAGUACAGUGUAGUCUAAUAGAGCAUACUAUAUUACAGUACAGUGUAGUCUAAUAGAGCAUACUAUAUUACAGUACAGUCUA